CGAGGCGGCGCGGAGCCCUCUACUCUUGUGAUCCGCGUCGGUCACCUUCAUCGCCACCGCGAGCCACCUUCUCCUCCGCCGCCAAGAAUCCCAUCCCCGGCAAGUAUGUUUUUUGAGUCAGACUGUCAGACUAUGAUCCAUGCACUUAAGGGAAGGGAUUGUGAUGCUGUUGAACUGGGAGUCCUUUACCAUGAAGCCAGAAGUUUGGUGUUGGCUGAUGUUCUCCUUAGCGUCUGGGCACUUCAGGCCCCUUACUUAAUUCGUUUCAAUUUUGCAUGUGAUGGUGCAGGAGGACGGGCUUCCUGGACAAGAAGAUCUCUGUACUCUUCUCAAUGGUGUAAAGUUGAGGAUUGUGCUGUAAUUUGGGGAGAGAUGGAGAACAUGAGCCUUGGCUACCUGAAGUAGAUCCUUCCUUAAGCGUCAGAUGCCUUCUGUUUCAGUAAUGACUUAGGAUAAAGACGAAGCAGAGAACAUAAUCUUGGUGAAGGCAUCUCAAUGGAGAUGGGAGAGUGUUGCACAAGUGGAUUUAUUGGGUUGGGGAAAUAGAUAAAAUAUCUUGCUUGGUUUUUGUAUUCUCUUUCUAAUGUAUUUUUUAUGUAUUAUCAGCAUGGAAUAGAUGAUAGAUACCUCCCACUUAAGUUUGAACUUCUAUAUGUUUCAUAAUAUGGUUGGAUAUCGCUGGCUUAUACAUUAUGUUUCAUUUUUUUCC
This is a long non-coding RNA of Triticum dicoccoides, 709 nucleotides long. RefSeq lists it as uncharacterized. The transcript has 5 exons. Lineage: Eukaryota; Viridiplantae; Streptophyta; Magnoliopsida; Poales; Poaceae. The record is from RefSeq and is a predicted model, not a curated record.